This 254-nucleotide ribosomal RNA is filed under the name uncultured Bacteroidales bacterium. RNAcentral describes it as "partial 16S ribosomal RNA". It matches the Rfam family "Bacterial small subunit ribosomal RNA", at positions 524 to 776 of the family's 1533-position model. Lineage: Bacteria; Pseudomonadati; Bacteroidota; Bacteroidia; Bacteroidales. The record is from RNAcentral.
UACGGAGGAUGCGAGCGUUAUCCGGAUUUAUUGGGUUUAAAGGGUGCGUAGGCGGAUUGUUAAGUCAGCGGUGAAAGUUCCCGGCUCAACCGGGUCAGUGCCGUUGAUACUGGCAGUCUUGAAUACGGUCAAGGCAGGCGGAAUGUGAUGUGCAGCGGUGAAAUGCAUAGAUAUGUCACAGAACUCCGAUAGCGAAGGCAGCUUGCCGGGUCUGUAACUGACACUGAGGCGCGAAAGCGUGGGGAGCAAACAGG